CUACCAGUAAGUCAGUUUUUGCCUCAAUUAUCAUUUUAAUGGUACUUUCAAAACUAACACUACCGCAGAACAACAGAACAAUCUGCCGAUGGGGAGACAAAAUCUAUUUUGUUGACAUUUUUGUUUAAUACGUCAGCUUCAUAUGACACCAUUCAUUGUGUAAAUGAUUAAGAUUGCAAUUGUUUAAUAUGUCAGCUUCAUAUGACACCAUUCUUUUUAUAAAUGAUUGACUUGAUACUAAGAUUGUACUCAGUCAGAACUGUAAAACUAUAUAAUAAGAAAGAAAUUGUGAGCAUUAUGGAAAAAAGUCAAAUAAUUUUUCAUUUGUGUACAAUUGUGUGUUACAAUUUGGAUAUCAUACUGCUCAUUUGACCUUAUGCAUAAUGAUGUGACAAGGCUUGAUGCCUGCCAGGAAUGCUGGUCUUAAGCUAUGGGCAAACUAGGAAACGUUGCAGAAACAUUUGUAAUUGUCGAUGUUUCCUCAGACGUUUCCCUAUUCGCCCACCCUGUUCGUCCACCCUGUUCGUCCACGCCUGUUCGUCCGCAAUAACGUUUCCUAGUUUGCCCAGGACUUUAGUAAUCGCCCAGGAAAAUUAAACAAUCCAAAAUGGCCACUAUUGAAAUUUUCCUGGCCAUCAAGCCUUAAGACGUCAUUAUGCAUAAGGUCUAUUGAUUUGAUAUACAGACAUUACAGUAAAGCCUUGCCCUUGCAUAAAAGAACCAGUAGGUUAAGAACCACUAGCCUGAAAUUUGGGCAAUUGAGCACCCAAAAUGCAAUGUGUUGAAUAUAAAAAAG
Paramuricea clavata is the source of this 796-nucleotide non-coding RNA. The record is from the annotation of a GenBank genome assembly. Lineage: Eukaryota; Metazoa; Cnidaria; Anthozoa; Malacalcyonacea; Plexauridae.